Molecule: ribosomal RNA, 494 nt
Filed under: uncultured bacterium
Lineage: Bacteria
Description: partial 16S ribosomal RNA
Rfam family: Bacterial small subunit ribosomal RNA
Source: RNAcentral
GACGAACGCUGGCGGCGUGCUUAACACAUGCAAGUCGAACGGUGAAGCGCCUUCCUUUUUGGUGGGUGUGGAUGAGUGGCGAACGGGUGAGUAACACGUGAGUAACCUGCCCCCUUCUUCUGGAUAACCGCAUGAAAGUGUGGCUAAUACGGGAUAUUCUGGGUCUGUCGCAUGAUGGGUCUGGGAAAGAUAUUGUUUCGGUGGGGGAUGGGCUCGCGGCCUAUCAGCUUGUUGGUGGGGUGAUGGCCUACCAAGGCGGUGACGGGUAGCCGGCCUGAGAGGGUGGUCGGUCACACUGGGACUGAGACACGGCCCAGACUCCUACGGGAGGCAGCAGUGGGGAAUAUUGCACAAUGGGCGCAAGCCUGAUGCAGCGACGCCGCGUGAGGGAUGGAGGCCUUCGGGUUGUGAACCUCUUUCGCCAGUGAGGCAGGCCCGCCUCGUUUGUGGGUGGGUUGACGGUAGCUGGAUAAGAAGCGCCGGCUAACUACGUG